This 468-nucleotide ribosomal RNA is filed under the name uncultured bacterium. RNAcentral describes it as "partial 16S ribosomal RNA". It matches the Rfam family "Bacterial small subunit ribosomal RNA", at positions 28 to 507 of the family's 1533-position model. The record is from RNAcentral.
GACGAACGCUGGCGGCGUGCUUAACACAUGCAAGUCGAACGGAAAGGCCCUGCUUUUGUGGGGUGCUCGAGUGGCGAACGGGUGAGUAACACGUGAGUAACCUGCCCUUGACUUUGGGAUAACUUCAGGAAACUGGGGCUAAUACCGGAUAGGAGCUCCUGCUGCAUGGUGGGGGUUGGAAAGUUUCGGCGGUUGGGGAUGGACUCGCGGCUUAUCAGCUUGUUGGUGGGGUAGUGGCUUACCAAGGUUUUGACGGGUAGCCGGCCUGAGAGGGUGACCGGCCACAUUGGGACUGAGAGACGGCCCAGGCUCCUACGGGAGGCAGCAGUGGGGAAUAUUGCACAAUGGGCGGAAGCCUGAUGCAGCAACGCCGCGUGCGGGAUGACGGCCUUCGGGUUGUAAACCGCUUUCGCCUGUGACGAAGCGUGAGUGACGGUAAUGGGUAAAGAAGCACCGGCUAACUACGUG